Molecule: RNA transcript, 7236 nt
Organism: Pteropus alecto (black flying fox)
Lineage: Eukaryota; Metazoa; Chordata; Mammalia; Chiroptera; Pteropodidae
Gene: ANKRD16
Gene name: ankyrin repeat domain 16
Exons: 9
Source: RefSeq, a predicted model, not a curated record
GGGAAGGAAGGCCGGCUCUGCGCCCUGCGGGAGGAGCUGCAGGGAGCGGGGCGCGCCGUCUGCCCGGGGCCGGCCGGCGACACUCUCCUGCACUGCGCCGCCCGCCACGGGCGUCGGGACGUCCUGGCCUAUCUGGUCGAGGCCUGGGACAUGGACAUCGAGGCCGCCAACCGAGACUACAAGCGGCCUCUGCACGAAGCUGCUUCCAUGGGCCACCGGGACUGCGUGCGGUACCUGCUGGGUCGCGGAGCCGCGGUCGACUGCCUGAAGAAGGCCGACUGGACUCCUCUGAUGAUGGCUUGCACGAGGAGGAAUCUCGAGGUGAUCCAGGACCUCGUGGAGCAUGGUGCCAAUCCGCUUCUGAAGAACAAAGACGGGUGGAACAGCUUCCACAUCGCCAGCCGAGAAGGCGACCCUGCAGUCCUCCAGUACUUGCUCACCGUUUGCCCAGCUGCCUGGAAGACAGACAGCAAGAUUGGCAGAACUCCUCUGCACACGGCAGCGAUGCAUGGCUGUUUAGAGGCAGUAAAGGUGCUUCUUCAGAGGUGUCAGUAUGAACCAGACUGCAGAGACAGGUGUGGCCUCACCCCCUUUAUGGAUGCGAUUCAGUGUGGGCACAUCGACAUAGCCAGGCUGCUCCUUGAGAAACAUAAGGCUUGCGUUUCCGCCGAGGACUCCCUGGGGGCCCAGGCUGUGCACAGGGCAGCAGUCACCGGGCAGGACGAAGCCAUCCAGUUCUUGGUGUCCGACCUUGGCAUUGAUGUAGACGUGAGGGCAACGUCAACCCACCUCACAGCACUUCAUUAUGCAGCUAAGGAAGGACACGUGAGCACAGUGCAGACGCUCGUUUCCUUGGGCGCCAACCUCAACGCUGAGGAUGACAGAAAGCGAUCAGCCCUGCACCUGGCCUGCGCGGGUCAGCACGCGGCUUGCGUCGAGUUUCUCCUGCGGUCUGGGCUGAGGGACGCCCCAGACGUGACGGGCACUUCGGCUCAGCAGCUCAUACACAGCACGGACGUCCUUCAGUGCUUUGGCCACAACGUGACGGCAUUUCCCAGCAAAGGCGACGAAACGCUGCUAAAUCGUCACCAGGUUCAGUGACAUCGUGUUUGCUGUUAGAAGUGCUGUGGCUCUUCAUCUGGAAGCUUGGCGAUGGUUCUGAGACCAGAAACGUGCCGGCGGCGCUAGCUCGUAGGCCUCAGUCAGCCCAGGGUCCCAGCUUCCCAGACCCUCCGACGGAACGCUGUCGGCCAAGGGCGCCACACACGGCUGCUGCCGCGGAGGUCUCAUUUCCGCUGUGCGGGGACAGUGUGUCUGUGGGGAGGGAUCGAUCCCCCAGUAACCGGUUCAUCAGCAGGGCCCAGUUAUCGGACAUCGGAGCUUGAGCCCCACCCCGGCACCCCCGGCCGUCUGCCUUGGAGUCUCCCCGUCUGCGCACCGGCUCCAGUAGCACCUGCUUUACGUGGCUCAGCAGACCAUCACCCGGUUACAGCGGCUCAGCGGACCGUCACCCGAUCCCUGCCCGCUGGUGCCUGGCCAUAUCGAACCUCAAAGGACCGGUUUGAUUUUGUGUGAGAGGAACUUGCAGGAAUGGGACAAGGGGACCCCAAAUAGGCAGGCGGUGUCAGUGAGGAGGAGAAGCCAGGAGUGCCGGAGUGUUUAUUACAAGAAGGCCUGGGAGGAGCCAGGCCCCGAGGACAGCGGGCGCUCGGCCCUGCCUCCCCUCCACCCGGCCACUGGUCACCCUGCCGCCCCGCGUUCCCCCAGAGGAGUGGAUACUUCCCAACGCUCCGUCACACAGCAGCGGCUUCGCGCCUGCCAGCGGCGCACCCCAGUGAUGCCGUGCAGGCCGCUGUGGUCACAUGGGGACACGCAGCCUGUGAUAGCAGGCCCUCGUCCUAGCCUCUAAGUCACAGUGACACACAAGCACAGCCAAGACUGGUCAGACCCUGAACCAAGACCCACCUCAGCCGGGAGAAGCGCCUUGUGGAAACAAGGAGCGGGAACUCGGGGUGCCUGCCCGCAAACCCCGUGAGCAGGGAGGCCGCCUUCCUCCGGCUGACUACCCUGUAGCCACGAACUGGCACACAGGUUCACAGCAUCGUGCAGCCACGCCCUCUCUGGUCCCAGGACGUGACCGCCACCCACAGAGAUCCCCACUGGUGACAUGGUGCCUUCCUGCUGGGCUUCUUUCCAUGGCCAGCGUCUGGGUGUGGUUUUGAACGUGUGUCCCUCCCCCCCCCAACCCGCCGACCCCCACUCCCCAUCCAUCUUGCCCAGCUACAUCUGGUUGGAAGACCAACAGUCGUUCUCCGAGUGGUUCCUCUCCCCCCCCAGUUGCCGUUCCCUAGAUUCUCUUUGUGUCCCCUCUAGUGUCAGAGCUGACGUCCUCAGGGCAAAUUUCCGCUCAGGAAUGUCACUCAUGUAUGGCCCGGGGAGGGAAAUCGUUGUAUCAGCAAUCCCGUUUCAGUGCGACAGCCUUCGUGAGCUGGUCUUCCCUAGAGCACCCCACUCCGCACCUCACACACCCCGUCACCAGCCAGCGGGCCUUCCUCCCCUCCAGCCUGCUGCCAGCUGCCCCAGACCCGCCGCCACGGUGGACUCUCCGGUCUGAACGCAGACCUCAUCGCCGACUCAUCACCCAUCCUGUGUAGCUUUGUAUUGUUUAACCCUCCACGGGUGGCAUCUAGUCCCUAACUAGGUAGGUGCCUGGCCAAAAUCGAACCUCAAAGGAGGAGUGUGAUUUUAUGUGAGAAGACUGUGUAAGGGACAACAGGAAGUUUGUACAUUAUUUGACCCAGUCUCUUCAUUCUCAGAGAUGAAGGAAAAACCAAGGCCCAGAGUGAGUAGGUGGCUUGGCUCGGAGCGUAUGUUUCAUGCUCUGAUUUACAAGGGUGGGGCCAGGGCUCCUGACAUCCAGGUCAGUAGUUUCCUAGGUCUGCCUUAAGUCACCACCAGCUGGGGGCUUGAAACAGCAGAAGUGUGUUCUUUCACAGUUCUGGGGCUCAGAAGUCUGAAGUCACCAUGUGGCCGGCCACACUCCCUCUAAAGGCUCCAGGGGAGGCUCCUUCCUGCCCCUUCCAGCCUCCCAGGCCCCAGCCCUGCCUUGCCAUGGAGCAGCAUAGUGCCCCUCUUCACAUGGCUUUCCUCCCUGUGCUUCUGAAUGUCACAUCCCACUCUGCCUUUCUCUUACAAGGACACAGGCCAUUGGAUUUAGAGCCCGCACUAAAUCCAGGAUGAUUUCAUCUCCAGAUCCUUAACUUAGUUACACUUACAAAGACCCUUUUGGCAAACAAGGCUACUUACAUGCACGUGUCCCAGUGGUUAGGACGUGAGGCUCUUCGGGGGCCACCACUCGCUCGCUGCGUGCUCCUUGGGUGAAACCCCCAGUCCUCCUGUGGGUGCAGGCUUUGCCAAAUAGGUGCAGGUUACUCUUUUAUUUGGGGGUUUACACCACGCGUCUCCAAAGCCUCUUCCACCUUCUGUGUUUUAAUAUAUGCUAGAACCUUAGAAAAAUAGCAUAGCUGGACCACAGAAUGCUACACGGCUGUUAAAAGAUGAGUUAGCACUGUAUGCGCAGAAAUGAGACAGCACGUGAAGUGAGUGAAGAGCACCUGCUGCUGUCCCCUGUACACUCUUGUCUUUAGACUUAUUUUUAAAGCAAAUUAAUAAAAAUGUAUAAUGUGGGCUUUUGAUGGGUGAAACCUGCAAUGUAGGUUUUCCAACAGCGUAGAAACAUUCGGCUCUAAAGUCAUGUGUCCACGUCACAGGAUUUCCGUCCUGCCAAGCAGGCUAAGCCACAGUCAGGGUUAUUUGGAGCAUUCCAUGAGGGGCGGGGAAGGUUCUAGAGCACACGGAGCACCCAGGUGCUUCCCGCAGCAGGCCAUGUGCCAGGUGACCCUGUGUGCAGCUGCAGCUGUGGGCCCAGAUGCCAGUCUUUGGAGCGGCUCUCCCAAGAGGCACUUGGUGAGCUGAAUGAAGGGUUGCAGCUCCGCUGGGCACGCCCUCAAAUCCAGUCCCGGUCACUUACGCGCCACAUCUGGGGGACUUUUUGGCACUGGGGUGGGCAGAACCCCUGGAGAGCUAACAGCCCCGACAAACCCAUUGGACAGCAGCACGCAGACAGGCAGAGGCAGGGACGGUCUCGGCACAUCCCAGAGGGCGGAAACGCCUCGUCUGUCACGUGUCCAGAUAGCACACAGGCGGAUCCUGCCUUCUCCCAUCAGAGGUUUGGGAAGGUAUCCGAGGCGCCCCGGGAGGAGACGCCUAAGAAAGGGGAGAAGGAAGGCAAGGAGACCGGGGACGAGAAGGGACGAGGAGCGAGACCAGAGGCUGCGCGUCCCCAGUCGGGCACACCGACGGCCCGCCGACCUGGCUCCUAAACCUGUUAUUUUUUUAAAGUGAAAAUGCUCUUUUGCUUUCUUAAAAUGCGAUUCUGUCCCAAAGCAUUUUUUUAAACUUCCGGUUGCUUUUCUUUAGUAAACUUUAUUUUCUGGAGCAGUUUCCGGUUCACUGCAGAAUUGAGCAGGAGGCACAGAGUUCCCACGCGCCUCCCUGCCCCCGCUGUCAGCAUCCGCUCCCCAAUCCCGUUUGUGUGGAUGCCGUGAGUUUUCCCUCGGUGCCCGUGAGCCGGAACCAGGGCCUGUCCGCGGCCCGCCGCCUGCCUCUCUCUCGUUGGUGGAGGGGGCAGCGGCAGGAGGGGUCCAGGAACCCACUACUCCUUGUGGGCGCCUUCGGCCAGUUAGUUCCGUUCCCACCCCAGCCCACUGCCUGGCCUUCCAGGUACCGGUACCCCCGGUCUUUCCGGUCCCCCGGCUUGAAUGUGUUUGCUACCUAAUGCCCUGCACCUCCCUGCAGGCCCUGAGGGUUCCGUGUUCUCUGGCCUGUCAAGUCAGUUAGAUGUGACCACCUGCUUUCUGUCAAAAUUCUGUCACCUUUCAAUGGUCGAUCUUUUGAACUCAUGGGAUUAUAUCCUUUUUUAUUCCUUUAAUGCCAUUUUAACACACUUUGGGGAGGGAGUCAAGUUAAAGGCAUGUGUUCAACCUGCAGAAUGUCUUCUCAAGUUCAAGUCUUUUAUUAUUAUUUCCCCGCUCUCUUCUCCCCACAUGCACCCACUCUACUGAGCGCCAUCACAGUUCAGUUCUGCUCAGGUUUUUAAGCAUGAGUAUAUUUUGAACAAGGUAUAAAUGCACACGUUUAAAAUUUUUACAAUAAUGGCAUUGCACUAGAAACCUCAUUCUAUUUCUCAUUUUCUCAACAACCGUUUUCAGCUUCCUUCACUUUGCUACAUUGUAGUUUAGUUUGCUGCCUGGAGGUCACCCCAGCUCUUUGCUACCACGGAUUAGAAUUUGAUGGACAUUUUAGUACAUUCUAUACACAGGAAAUUAAUUUUCAGUAUGUGCUCAGGAACAGAGAGCUGGGACAAAAGACAUACACACGUCAGAUUUAUUAAAUAUUACCAGAUUUCUUUCAAAAACGGCUACGGCAGUGACAACUACUCAGAGCCCUUGACGCAUUUACUGUGACUCUCCCAAAGGAGGGUGGAACAGGCAGCAGCUCUCAACCUAACAUGGCCAUGGAACUCUGCCUGAAAAGCACCUUGGGCCUUCAGCGUCUCACAGUACACUGGGGACACUGGCGACGAUCACGCGGGACAGGAGGAGCGGCAGCUAUUUGGGGCGAUGGGGAGUCAAUUUUUGUAAUUUUUUUCCAAGGCCGUGAGCAACUGAGAUUCAGUGUCAAAUUGUGAUUCUUCACAAAGUGCCGCAUGAAUGCCAAGACCAGCACUCAGUUCGGAUAGGCAGGGAACCCCACGGCGGCAUAAAAUAUAGUGAUUACCGAAGGUAAAAUGAAAAUGACAAAAUGGGCUAAUCCAAAGUAGGACUCCACUACCGUAACCUUUAAAUUAAUCUGGAAUUAAAGCGUGACUUCUGUGUACACAGGACCCAAUCUGCUUAGCUCACCAGUGCCCAGCCCGGUACCUGGCACAGAGGAGACACAAUAAACAACAGUUGAAGAAAUAAAUGAAAAAAACAUCUGAUGCUUUUGUUUUAAAAGCCUGAUCCUGAUAGUAGAAGAUUUGAAAUUAAAAAUGUAAAGGUAUGCAGACAUCAUAAGUACAUCUCUGAGAAAAACUUCCCUCUAAACCACCUACAAAUAUAGUACAUAGAGUCCGGCUGGAACACCUCACUUCUGCAGUUAAGGAAAUGUGGCUUCUGGAGUGUCCACCCCUCCCACCGGUGCGGACUUCUGGCAGCCCUGUUUCUGUCACAUGACCCAACACCUUGGCUAUAGUUAAUUGGAUCAAGUUGGACUCAGCCCAGGCUGGGCCGAGCAGAUUCUCCCUUCUGGUAAUUUGAUGCUGAGUUAUGAAACCCUGGUCGGUCUGGUCCAGUGGCUCCCUCUGUGAUGAAUUUUGCCCCUCCCCCACCAGGGACAUUGGCAGUGUCUGGAGACGUUUUGAUUGUCACAGCUGGGGCAAGAAAGAGGUUGGGUGUUACUGGCAUCGAGUAGGUGGAGGCCCGGGGUGCUGCUAAACACCCUGCAAUGCACAGGCCCGCCCCACCACGAAGAAUGAUCCGCCUAAGUGUCAGUAGUGCGAGCGUCUGAACAGACCCUGCGACUCAGUUGACUGGAGCUGUCACCCGUCAUCUACCCGCCACAUCCGAGGGAGGCAGGCAGAGUCAGCCUGUAGAGAGUAACAGGGUGUCGCACAGAGAGGAGCUGAGCUCUCUCGUUCCUUGUACCAGUUCCUCCCAGAGGCCCGCCUGCCUACGGUUUUGCCCCUGUAUCCUAAUAUGUCACCCUUUUAUACAUAAGAUAGCCUGGCAUGGCUUGGUCACAGAGUGACUUAAAUUAAUACAAGAGACAUUCAAGUGAAUGAUUUUAAAGUGACCUAAGAAACGUUAAGGCUCAUUUGGCUGGGAUCAUUCUAGUCUCCUAGGAUGGAACAAAUAAAUAAAGCGAAAAGUCCAUUGUCAUUACUUUUCUGUGAUGGCCAUGCUGUUUUCCCAUAGCUUCUCUACAAUUAGGUGCUAGAGUGAGCCGAAGCCUUUUGAAGGGCAGAAGGGUCUAGAGCAUGUCUGCACUGUGCUUCGUGUCUUCUGGGAAUCAGGGCGCCUGGCUCACCGGCUCUGCCACCACACCGAGCCCCGCCCAAGUCACCAGCUCCUCACAUGACAGACAAAGCUACUAAUCAUACUUGCUAAUGAUUUCCGUUUUGCAUAUUAUUUUGUA